CGUGGCCAAGGCGGGCAGGGGCGUGGCCGGGCGGUUGGCGCGCAGCGGGGCGAUGGACGGCGACCGGGUGAGGCGGCGGCUGAGCUGCGCGUUCCGGUUGCGGGGCUUCCUGCUGCGGGCGGAUGCUCUGAAGUAUCUUACCGAAGCUCUGCAGUCCGUCAGUGAAGUAGAACUUGAUGAUGUAAUUGAAAAUGUCAUCGACGCCAUUGAAAAACAGCCUUUGUCAUCUAAUAUGGUUGAACAGUCCAUGGUGGAAGCAGCCGUCCAAGAAUGCAGCCAAACAUCGGAUGAAACUAUAGAAAACGUUUUCAACAUUAUUGGAGCUUUCGACAUUCCACGUUAUAUUUAUAAUUCAGAAAGAAAGAGGUUUCUACCGCUGUCGAUGACCAACCUCCCUGCACCGAGUUUGUUUGGGACUGCCAGAGAUAAAGCGGAACUGUUUCGGGAGCGCUACUCCAUCUUACAGCAGAGGACUCACAGGCACGAGUUGUUCACUCCUUCAGCAGUUGUUGUUCAUCCUGAUGACAGCGGGAGCAAAUUCCAGCUGAAAACAAUAGAAACUCUGUUGGGCAAUACAGCUAAAGUGGGCGAAGUGAUUGUGCUCGGGAUGAUAACUCAGCUCAAGGAGGGGAAAUUUUUCCUAGAAGACCCUACCGGAGUUGUCCAGCUCGACCUUAGCAAAGCCCAGUUCCACAGUGGUUUAUACACCGAAUCGUGCUUUGUGUUGGCAGAAGGUUGGUAUGAAGAUGAAGUUUUUCAUGUGAACGCAUUUGGAUUUCCCCCUACUGAGCCUUCUGCUACCACGAGAGCCUUCUACGGGAACGUGAACUUCUUUGGAGGCCCUUCAUCAGCUUCAGUAAAAGCUUCUGCGAAACUAAAGCAGCUGGAGGAUGAAAAUGAAGAUGCCAUGUUUGUGUUUCUGUCUGAUGUGUGGUUGGACCAAGCAGAGGUGCUGGAAAAGCUUCACACGAUGUUUUCAGGUUAUUCCGCUGCACCUCCAACCUGCUUUUUCUUUUGUGGAAACUUUUCAUCUGCACCAUAUGGAAAAAAUCAAAUCCAGUCACUGAAAGGUUCAUUGAAGGCUCUUGCUGAUAUUAUAUGUGAAUAUCCCAGCAUCCAUAAAAGUCGAUUUGUGUUUGUUCCUGGCCCUGAAGACCCUGGUCCUGGUUCUAUUUUACCCAGACCUCCCCUGGCUGAAAAUAUUACUCAGGAAUUCAGGCAGCUGGUGCCGUUUUCAGUUUUCACCACAAAUCCUUGCAGGAUUCAGUAUUGCACCCAAGAAAUAAUUAUCUUUCGCGAAGAUUUGGUAAACAAAAUGUGCAGAAACUGCGUCCGCUUCCCUAGCAGCAACAUGGAUAUUCCCAGCCAUUUCAUAAAGACUAUAUUAUCGCAAGGACAUCUGACACCGCUCCCGCUGUACGUCAGCCCCGUGUACUGGGCUUACGACUACACCCUGAGGGUGUAUCCUGUGCCAGACAUGCUCGUCAUUGCGGAUAAAUACGACCCAUUCACUGUCACCAACACCGACUGCCUCUGCAUAAACCCGGUAAGAUUUCCUUGCGCUUUACCAAAAUACGAAGGGAGAACAGUCACAGCCGGGUGUGUCUUUAACUACUUGUACAGUAUUUUCCUUACCUGAGCGAGGUUUCUGCCUGUCUUUACAGGGUUCCUUUCCAAGAAGUGGAUUUUCAUUCAAGGUAUUCUAUCCCUCCAACAAGACAGUGGAAGACAGGUAAAUAUAUUCACUUUCUCACUUAAAAGGAAGUAUCUUCUUAUUUGCUGAUUUCCGAGUUAUUAGGAGGACCACGGAAAAGCACUUUUAUAAACAGAACCAAUGUCAGUGCUCUAGCAGUUAAUCACAGAAUGAUUUGUUUCUGGAGAUGAUGCCUGUUACACAGGCUAAUUACACUUAGGAACUAUUCUCGGUUCAUUUUGUGAUUGCCAUUAAUCUUGGGAGCCAUUUUCAUGCUUUGACUUAACACAUUUUCAAUCUGUACGUAUUCAUUCCCACUGUGGGCUUCCAGUGACUGGAAAAAAAAGCUAACUGCAGCACCAAAAAAAGUCAAAGAGCUUAUAGCUGCGAUGGAAAUGUGCCUCCAUUUGAAAUAACGAUAGCAAAACCCUAAGGGAGAAGUGCAAACUCUUGUACAAUUCAGUUUCAUGUAACCUCUACCUGAAUAUAGAAAACACCACACCAUGAAAUGCUUUAGUGUUAUUGAGACUUUCAUAAAUGAAGAACUGAAUAGCAUUGUAAACUGUCUCUGACAAAAAAUCCCUAAAUAUUGUUUUUGUUUGGUAUUUUCAGCAAGCUCCAAGGGCUGUGAAUCUCUGCGAGACUGCAAAAAGGGGGAGAGGCUUUGUAAAGCCACCUGCAGCGCUGAUUUGAGAUGGAUUGAUUUUAUCAUGUAUUACAGCCUGUUUAGAGUAAAUAUCAAAGCCAAAAAGGGU
This is an RNA transcript of Cuculus canorus (common cuckoo), 2448 nucleotides long. It is a transcript of the gene named DNA polymerase epsilon 2, accessory subunit, with no coding region annotated. The transcript is spliced from 18 exons. The record is from RefSeq and is a predicted model, not a curated record. NCBI's taxonomy places the organism in Eukaryota, Metazoa, Chordata, Aves, Cuculiformes, Cuculidae.